Salmo salar (Atlantic salmon) is the source of this 1195-nucleotide non-coding RNA. The record is from RefSeq and is a predicted model, not a curated record. NCBI's taxonomy places the organism in Eukaryota, Metazoa, Chordata, Actinopteri, Salmoniformes, Salmonidae.
CUCCAGAAUAGUCUAAAUACCCGGACCACUGAGAGAAACCAGUUACAGAAUAGUCUAAAUACCAGGACCACUGAGAGAGACCAGUUACAGAAUAGUCUGAAUACCAGGACCACUGAGAGAGACCAGUUACAGAAUAGUCUAAAUACCAGGACCACGGAGAGGGACCAGUUACAGAAUAGUCUAAAUACCAGGACUACUGAGAGAAACCAGUUAUAGAAUAGUCUAAAUACCAGGACCGCAGAGAAAAACAAGCUACAGAAUAUUCUCACAACCAAAACUAAAGACAGAGACCAGUUGCACAAUACUCUCACCACAAUAACUCGGGAGAGAGACCAGCUACAGAAUAGUCUAAAUACCAGGACCACUGAGAGAGACCAGUUACAUAAUAGUCUAAAUACCAGUACUACAGAGAGAGACCAGUUACAGAAUAGUCUGAAUACCAGGACCACUGAGAGAGACCAGUUACAGAAUAGUCUAUAUACCAGGACCACUGAGAGAGACCAGUUACAGAAUAGUCUAAAUACCAGGACCACGGAGAGAGACCAGCUACAGAAUAGUCUAAAUACCAGGACUACUGAGAGAAACCAGUUACAGAAUAGUCUAAAUACCAGGACCGCAGAGAAAAACAAGCUACAGAAUAGUCUCACAACCAAAACUAAAGACAGAGACCAGUUGCACAAUAUUCUCACCACAAUAACUCGGGAGAGGGACCAGCUACAGAAUAGUCUAAAUACCCGGACCACUGAGAGAAACCAGUUACAGAAUAGUCUAAAUACCAGGACCACAGAGAGAGACCAGUUAAAAAACAGCCUUAGGUUCUAUGGUUAGUGCAGUCUUUAAUUUUCCUAAUUUAGAAGUAUCAUUUUAUUUCAUACUUAGAAGAGACAUAAUAUAUUUAUCGACUUUUACGUGCCUGCUGUUCUAUUCCGUUUAUCUCAGAGAAACCCUGUCUGGAUGGAUGGUGGAAGUUUGGCACCAGCUGUUACUAUGUCUCCUCCACGAUGGACAGCUCUGGGGCCGGUCAGCGGCAGUGCAGAACAAUGGGUGCUGAUUUGGUUAUUAUAAACAGCAGAGAAGAACAGAUAUUUAUCAAUGGAUUUAAGAAGAAUGUCUGGAUUGGUACAUAUAAAAAAGAUGGAAUCUGGGAGUGGAUUGGCAUAACACUAUUUAAACCUACCUAUUGGAUGGAAGGGGC